AUCUAUAUAGUAUAAAAAGUAUAUCU
RNAcentral lists this transfer RNA (26 nucleotides) under Mycodrosophila dimidiata. Its description in RNAcentral is "partial tRNA-Gly". Lineage: Eukaryota; Metazoa; Arthropoda; Insecta; Diptera; Drosophilidae. The record is from RNAcentral.